RNAcentral lists this long non-coding RNA (464 nucleotides) under Columba livia (rock pigeon). Its description in RNAcentral is "partial uncharacterized LOC102089967, transcript variant X2". The record is from RNAcentral. Lineage: Eukaryota; Metazoa; Chordata; Aves; Columbiformes; Columbidae.
GUCAGAAGGCAGAAAUAUGUGAACUGUUGAGAGAGGGCCUGCCUCGAAGAUGACACAAAUAGGGAUUGAAGUACCAGAAAAAAAACCCCUUCAAACAAAACAAAACCCUGAACAGGAAUAGAGACAGGCGGAUAGAUAUAUAACUGCAUCUGAACAAUGUUACGUACGAGAUUAAAGGAUGAAGAAAGUUCAGAGCAGGAGGAGUCACCCAAACCAACCGGUGUGCAUCUGCACUUCUUUGAAAGGCAAACAUAAAUGGAGCAAGGAGGAAAAAAAAGAAUCCAAACAGCAUUUUUGAGAAUAUGGAAGAUGCUCACUUCUAAGACAACGGCAAGGAUUGGGCCAAAAUCCAGAUCCAGCCUACAUUUCUUCAUCUGAGUAGUCCUGUCUCGACCUAUGACUGCUGACAAGAUCACAACAAUGUGGACCCUUCUCUCCUUACUCCCCAGCAUCAGAUCACCAAG